Molecule: long non-coding RNA, 3016 nt
Organism: Aethalodelphis obliquidens (Pacific white-sided dolphin)
Lineage: Eukaryota; Metazoa; Chordata; Mammalia; Artiodactyla; Delphinidae
Exons: 2
Source: RefSeq, a predicted model, not a curated record
ACCUGUGUCCCCUGAACUGGCAGGCGGAUUCUUAACCACUGAGCCACCAGGGAAGCCCAGCAAUAUCCUUUAUUUCUGAGAAACUCUCUCAUGCAUAUGUAAUCCUAAUAUGAGUGGAUUUUAUCCUUUUAUCAAUACCUCUAUGUGUGACCCACUAGUGUAAAUAACAAAUUUUAAAAGCACCCAGCACAUUUUAUACACCUGUAGACUGAUUCUGUAACGAGUUAGCAACAUUCUUACAUAGUUCAGGAAGAAAACGUCUGCUCCAGGACAGGGAAUUAAUUUCUCCUUCACCCCCCCAUAGGUAGGAAAGGAAGAAUGAUCCUCUUUUGAGGUGCUCUGUAGUGCCAGAAGGAGUGAUCAGACAAUGCCUGAAAUAGAAGAGUUUUGCUUGGGACCAGUGUUUAACCUGAGGUUAUAAUGCCUGGUUUUAGGAAACUCUCAUGACAUUCAAUGGUGAUUUUAUUUGUUAAGUUUCAGAAACUAAAUCAAACACAGAUUUAAAUUUUUUUUCAGAUAAAAAAGAUUUUUAAAUUUACUACCAAUAUGUUUACUGGACUUUCUCAGCCUCAUGCUGUAAUUGUCUUUUUAUUUUUAGGCCGAUCUGUCUACUCAUUUUCCAGAUUUGCAGUAAUUCAGAAAGUAUCCUAAACUCCGCCUACUCAGUCACCCUUCCCCCCCACCACAUUCAAGUUCAAAUCCAGGAUGUUCUACCUCCAAAAUAUCUUUCAAAAACAUUCUCAUUUCUCCAUCUUUAUCCUCACUGCAUUGGUUAAGGUCCCCAGUCUCCCAGACGGUCUUUCCUGAAAACUAGACCUGGAAUUAUUUUUCUAAAACAACAAUCUAGUCACGUCAUUCACUGUUUUGCUUAAAAUGUUCUGUCCUGCCGCCAGAGUAUACUUCAAACUCCUGAGCCAGACGGGUUGUAUCUUUGCCUGCUUUACUAGCCUUACCUCCUCCCUUCACCCACAUCCUUUACUUCUUCAGUGUUUCUCAAAAUGCUGUCCUUGCACCAUCCCCAAGAAAAUCACCACUUAUUGGGAAUUCCCUGGUGGUCCAGUGGAUAGGACUCCGCGCUUUCACUGCUGAGGGCGAGGGUUCCAUCCUUGCUAGGGGAACUAAGAUCCUGCAAGCUGCAUGGUGCGACCAAAAAAAAUCCUGGGUCCUGUCUGAGGUCUAUAGAAUCAGAAACCGUGAGGUACGGGGCCAGAAAUAUGCAUUGUUAAACUCUGGGUUGAUUCUCAGGCAACAUGAAGAAUUCGGUAACUGCCAGGAGCAUUUGCCAACUACUUGUUCAAUGUCCCACAUUCUCUCCUCUACAUGCCUUUACCUUGUGCUGUGUGACACACACACACGCACACACACGCGCACACACACACACACACACACACACACACGAUUUUUUUUGCCUGGCUGAGUUUGGACUCUGCUUCUAAAUUAGUUCUAAAUCUUCCUUAAGAGUCACCUAUGGCAAACCUUCCUUGACUCCCCUAGGCUGGCUGAAGAGCUAACCUCUGUAUUGCCCUUAAGGCAUACAAGUGCAAUUUGUUAUUGUUGCUGCUGGUUAUGCAUCUAUUUCACUGCCAGGUUGGAACUUCAAAUAUGAAUUUAGGAGGAGGACACAGUUCAGCCUCUAACAGUCACUGCAGUUUUGGGAUUUACUUUGUCAUCACAGCAUGGAAUAGCUUAUUGUGAUCAAAACAGUUUUCCUGGGAACAGGAAUGAAGAUGUGUUUGUUUUGAACAUACAAAUUUAUGUUUAUAUAUGAGGAUGUGCGUUGGCGUAGGUGUGGGUAUGUGUAUAUGUGCUGUGCAGAACGUUAUAACCUGUGAAUGAGUUAUGUGAUACCAAGAUAUUGUUCAUUCAUCCUUGAGAUAGGUAGGUAGGUCCUGGGAGGUAGGAAUCUCUAGACUACUCAGCUUAGGUCAUGAGCAGCCCCUCUGUACACCGAGUGUAUCAUACAAAUAUUAUCUUCUAUGUACAUAAUGGUUUUUUAAAAAUUCCAAAGUACUUUUACACACUACGAAUAAUUAUAUACCAUGUCAACAUAAAUAUUUUAUGAAUGUCCCCUAUUUUAUGGAAUAUAGAGAAAAUUUAUUGAUAACCUAAGUGCCAAGCACUGUUCUAAAUUCACUAUUCUAAUACAUAAAACUCUAAAUGAGUUAUAUAUAUUGACUCAUUAUAUUCUCAAAAUAACCCUACAAAAUAACUUUACAAAACUAUUGAUAUCCCAUUUUACAGAUGAGGAGACUGAGGCACAGGUGGGUUAAAGACUUGCCCAUUUACAAAGAUGGUAAAAAGUAGAGCCAGAAUUUGAACCUAGGCAGCCUGUCUCUAGUCUUUCUGGCGCAGCACUUAUAGCCGUUGACAAUUUCAAGCAAAAAAAAAAAAAAAUAGUGAAUGAAUUUCAUAGUUGAAUUUUGGAAUUUCCUUUUUUCCCCCCUUAUGUCUAACAGGCAGUGAUUGAGUCAAGUUUACCUCUUUGAUGCCUUUGAAGUGUGGUUAUUUUGCUUUAUAACAAAAUUAAAUCCUUGCUCUGAAAAACGAUGUACUCCAAGACAUGAGUAAGCACAGUGUAAGCUGAAGAUCAAUGCCAUAAUUCCAAUCAAUUCAAUUCAGCAAAGUAUUUGUUGAGUAACUGCCAUGUGCUAGGCUUUGUGCUGUGUGCAUGGAACACAGUAAAGACUGAGAUGACACUGUUCCUUGCAUAAUAGCCACCGUUACAGAGGGGUUUAUGGUAUUUUCCUCAAAUGUGUUACUGAAGAAAAAGUUAAGGGCCAUGGUCGUUUAGAUGUCCACUGAGCUACUAAGGAGAACUAAGAAAUUAAAAUGGAGAAUUUAAAAAUAUUUAUUCAUUCAUUUAAAAUGUAAUAAACCCAUUAUAUGUUAACAAAAUAUAUUUUAUGAAAAACAAUUAUUUCCAAAAACAAAAAAUCCAGUGAGAAAAGUGACAUUUGAUUUGUUUUUUUGUUUGGCUGAGUUCCAUAAUGUCAUGCUUAAUAAAAACCAGAUUCUC